UUUUGAGUUAACUAGAAAGAAAAGAAUUAGGCACAAAAGGUCACUGUUGCAUUCUAUAUCUGAAUGCCCUUACUCUCAAAAGAGAAUACUAGAAAAGAGUAUGUAGAACGUUAAUGGAAAAAGAAAGCAUCUAUUUAUAGGAAGAACAGGAGAAAGUCAUAGUAAUAGCCUCAAACGCUUGCUUGAUGAGCUACUUGAAACAGAAUGAGUGGAUGGCACAGAGUAAGAAUGUCAAGGAUGAGGGCCGGGGCAUAAGGUAAAUGAGAACAGGUGGACUCCUCUAUAUGCCGGACCCUCCAGACCCUAUCCCCUUUGAAACCUUGAGCAAAACUACUGUUUUACCAGAAGAAAGCCUGAGGGUUGUGGAAAUUAUAAUUUAAAAAAAUGUGUACAAAUGAAAGAAUUCAUGACAGCAAAUUCGAGGACUGGGGGAGAGGGUUCGAAAGUGAAUAUAUAAGACAGACUGAGGAAGAAGCAGAGAUACAGCAUGGAAGGCUGCUAAGGAGAAUGCAGAUGAGAGCACACACCACCUACCAGUCAACCAGCAACUCUAUAAAUUUAAUACAACCGUACAAGUGUAGCACCUGGAUUAGAGCGGAGGAGGGCUGCACAGACAUCGCGAGACGAGGCAGCAAUCUGCGCGAGCUUUAAGGGAUGCGGUGGGGAAAUAAGGAUGAAGGAGCAUAAAGGGGGAGGGGCUGCAGCAGGGAAGAGGGUGGGUUGCAGCUGCAGAAGGGGCCUGAAAAGAGAAGGAAGGGAAAGCGACCUGGAGGUGACGAAGAGGAGGACAGGCUCAAGCGUGGGCUCACCAGGCAGAGCAGGAGAGCGAACGGGAAGCAGCAUGGCCUGAAGAGGGGGGUGGGGGGGGUCAAAGACCCAAAAGGGAAGUCGUAAUUGUAGACUGAACAAAAGUACGAGCACGGUGCAGGAGGGAAGGCGGACGGGAACGGGGAUGCUCUCCCAGGCAUGAGGCUGGUGAUGGGGGCACGAGAGUCAAAAUCGUGGUGUAAAUACGAGAGCUACGGUGAAGACGAGCCACGGUGUCCAAAACCCCACCGCCCCAGCAAACAGAAUAGAAUAGAAUAAAAUAAAAUAAAAUAAAAUAAAGGCAUGCAAGGGUCAGAAAAGGUAAACUCGGAGGACGAAUACAAAACCGAAGGGAGGAAAGGGACACACAGAAGGACAGAGGAAUGGAGAGGGGGGGCUUCGCCAGCGGGACAGAGUAACUAAGGAAAGCAGUGCGGCGUGGAGGGCGGCUGUUUCCGGAGGGAAAGCGGGAGCAGACCAGAGUCCGCGGGGGCAGAGGGAGUGGCGGGGGACAAGAAACUACGACGCUAAGGACGAGAACUUGGGGAGGACACACAGCGGCCGGGUCGGAGGAGAUGCUGUCAGAGGGGCAGGGGAGCUUCGCUACGGGCGAAGCGGGGGGCAGCGAGCCGCCUGCCAAAGAUACACUUUGCAGUGACGCCUCCUCCCCCGGGUGAGUCACAAGUGUGUAAUCCCCUCUCCUUGAGUGUGGGCAAGGCCUGCGACUUGCUUCUAGGCCAUAGAAUAUGGCAAAGGUGAUGCUGUGUCAGUCCUGUGAUUACAGCUACAUCAUAUAACACUCCUCCUUAGCAGACUGGGGGAGAGAGUCUUCUGCUGGCCUCGAGGAAGAAAGCUGCCAUGUUGUGUAGACUGCCUGUGGAGAAGGCCCGAGACAGGGAACUGCGGGCGCCUCUGGGAACUGAGAGUUGCCUCCAGCUUACAGCAAGAAAACGGGCUCCUCAGGUCUACAUUUGCAAGAAACUCUGCCAACAAUCACAUGAGUUUGGAGGGAGACCCUGGGCUCUCUAAGGAACACAGCCAGCCAGCACCUGAUUGUAGGCUCGCGAGACUCUGCAGAGGACCCGGCUAACCGGAGCCCAGACUCCUGACUCACAGACACUGUGACAUAAUCAUCGUGUGUGGUUUCAAGCUUCCAAAUCUGCAGUCAUUUGUUACACGGCAAUAGCUAACCGAUGUAAUUCUUACUGCAUUGUCUCGUCGGCGUCACUCAGUUUAGACCAUGACAAUUUCAUAGCAAUUUCGCUUUACGUUUCCAAUCUGAACAUAAGCUGCUUGAAAACAAGGACCUUGUCACAUGUGACUUGUGCCCUCAGAGCGUACGAGAGGCACAAGGGAAGGAGCUCGGCAAGUGUUGCUAGGAAGUUCGUCCACGAGAGGACCAUAAAGUGGCUGAUAGCACCUGCUGCACAGGGACGUGGUGGGGAUCGAAUGAGUAAUAUGUGGGAAAUGUCUAACAUAACGCCUAGCACAUAGCUUUUAUUAAUAAUACUUAUUAAAUAAAUAUCACACCCAGC
Molecule: long non-coding RNA, 2342 nt
Organism: Pteropus alecto (black flying fox)
Lineage: Eukaryota; Metazoa; Chordata; Mammalia; Chiroptera; Pteropodidae
Exons: 2
Source: RefSeq, a predicted model, not a curated record